RNAcentral lists this ribosomal RNA (504 nucleotides) under uncultured bacterium. RNAcentral describes it as "bacterial SSU rRNA". It matches the Rfam family "Bacterial small subunit ribosomal RNA", at positions 28 to 565 of the family's 1533-position model. The record is from RNAcentral.
AAUCAACGCUGGCGGCGCGCCUAACACAUGCAAGUCGAGCGAGAAAGUGGAGCAAUCCAUGAGUAGAGCGGCGUACGGGUGAGUAACACGUGGGUAUCUACCUCUUAGUGGGGAAUAACCCUGGGAAACCGGGGCUAAUACUGCAUAAUCCCGAGAGGGGAAAGCAGCAAUGCGCUGAGAGAGGAGCCCGCGGCCGAUUAGCUAGUUGGUGAGGUAACGGCUCACCAAGGCGAAGAUCGGUAGCCGGCCUGAGAGGGCACACGGCCACACUGGCACUGAAACACGGGCCAGACUCCUACGGGAGGCAGCAGUGGGGAAUCUUGCACAAUGGGGGAAACCCUGAUGCAGCGACGCCGCGUGAGCGAUGAAGCCCUUCGGGGUGUAAAGCUCUUUCGGCAGGGAAGAUUAUGACGGUACCUGCAGAAGCAGCUGCGGCUAACUACGUGCCAGCAGCCGCGGUAAUACGUAGGCAGCAAGCGUUGUUCGGGGUUACUGGGCGUAAAG